This 253-nucleotide ribosomal RNA is filed under the name uncultured bacterium. RNAcentral describes it as "partial 16S ribosomal RNA". It matches the Rfam family "Bacterial small subunit ribosomal RNA", at positions 524 to 776 of the family's 1533-position model. The record is from RNAcentral. RNAcentral also lists the same sequence under 1 other name.
UACGAAGGGGGCUAGCGUUGUUCGGAAUCACUGGGCGUAAAGCGCACGUAGGCGGAUCUUUAAGUCAGGGGUGAAAUCCCGAGGCUCAACCUCGGAACUGCCUUUGAUACUGGGGAUCUCGAGUCCGGAAGAGGUAAGUGGAACUGCGAGUGUAGAGGUGAAAUUCGUAGAUAUUCGCAAGAACACCAGUGGCGAAGGCGGCUUACUGGUCCGGAACUGACGCUGAGGUGCGAAAGCGUGGGGAGCAAACAGG